GGGUUAGCUCAGUUGGGAGAGCACUACGUUCGCAACGUCGGGGUCGGGGGUUCAAA
RNAcentral lists this transfer RNA (56 nucleotides) under Nitrospirae bacterium RIFCSPLOWO2_12_FULL_63_8. RNAcentral describes it as "tRNA-Ala". The record is from RNAcentral. Lineage: Bacteria; Pseudomonadati; Nitrospirota.